GAAAUGCGAUAAGUAAUGUGAAUUGCAGAAUUCAGUGAAUCAUCGAAUCUUUGAACGCACAUUGCGCCCAUUAGUAUUCUAGUGGGCAUGCCUGUUCGAGCGUCAUUUAGUCCACUUAAGCCUUUGCUUAGUAUUGGGAAUCUACUUUUACUCUGUAGUUGUAGUUCCUCAAAGACAGCGGCGGAGUCGUGGUUUUACUCUGAGCUUAGUAAUUUUUUUCUAGCUUUCGAGUUGCCAUUGCCCCCUUGCCGUAAAACACCCUUUAUUUUUUAAUGGUUGACCUCGGAUCAGGUAGGAAUACCCGCUGAACUUAA
RNAcentral lists this unclassified non-coding RNA (314 nucleotides) under uncultured Sordariomycetes. Its description in RNAcentral is "sequence contains ITS1". The stretch from base 1 to 105 matches the Rfam family "5.8S ribosomal RNA", at positions 50 to 154 of the family's 154-position model. Lineage: Eukaryota; Fungi; Ascomycota; Sordariomycetes. The record is from RNAcentral.